UGAAAACAGCUGACUGGCAUAGAGACAACAUGGAAUAUAACCUUGGAAGCUGUGUGCUGAAAAAUGACAGAGCUACAGGUGGAAGGAGUCUGGGUCCCUGAAUGACCACUUGGAGGGGAUGCACCUGCCAAUGAAGAGUACCACUUUGGAAAUUAUGUGAGUGAGAAAUAGACUGAUAUUUUGCUUGGGCCAUUAUAUAUUUGUAUAAUUGUGUCCUUAAUUUUUGCACUAUAUGAUUAUUAUUAAAUUACUUUUUACCACU
Molecule: long non-coding RNA, 262 nt
Filed under: Homo sapiens (human)
Lineage: Eukaryota; Metazoa; Chordata; Mammalia; Primates; Hominidae
Description: non-protein coding lnc-SYK-13:1
Source: RNAcentral